Molecule: ribosomal RNA, 237 nt
Filed under: uncultured bacterium
Lineage: Bacteria
Description: partial 16S ribosomal RNA
Rfam family: Bacterial small subunit ribosomal RNA
Source: RNAcentral
GAUCAUGGCUCAGGAUGAACGCUAGUGACAGGCUUAACACAUACAAGUCGAGGGGCAGCGCGGGAGUCAGCUUGCUGACUUCUGGCGGCGACCGGCGCACGGGUGAGUAACACGUAUGCAACCUGCCCGCCAUAGGGGGAUAACCGGGAGAAAUCCCGACUAAUACCGCGUAGUCCGGAUGGAGGCAUCUCCGUACGGGGAAAGGAGCGAUCCGGUGGCGGAUGGGCAUGCGGCGCA